UACGGAGGGUGCAAGCGUUAAUCGGAAUUACUGGGCGUAAAGCGCACGCAGGUGGCUGAGUAAGUCGAUUGUGAAAGCCCUGGGCUUAACCUGGGAAUUGCAGUCGAAACUACUCGGCUAGAGUAUGGGAGAGGGCAGUGGAAUUCCCGGUGUAGCGGUGAAAUGCGUAGAUAUCUGGAGGAACACCGGUGGCGAAGGCGGCAUCCUGGACCAAUAUUGACGCUGAGGAGCGAAAGCCAGGGGAGCAAACGGG
Molecule: ribosomal RNA, 253 nt
Filed under: uncultured bacterium
Lineage: Bacteria
Description: partial 16S ribosomal RNA
Rfam family: Bacterial small subunit ribosomal RNA
Source: RNAcentral